RNAcentral lists this long non-coding RNA (3557 nucleotides) under Pongo abelii (Sumatran orangutan). RNAcentral describes it as "lincRNA". Lineage: Eukaryota; Metazoa; Chordata; Mammalia; Primates; Hominidae. The record is from RNAcentral.
GAAUGUUGAAAUUCUCACCCACAAUGUGAUGCUAUCAAGAGAGAUUGCCCGUGAGACAGCAGCCACUGCUCCCAGGCCCGAGAACAGGGGCAGCACCAAAGCUGGUCAGUGUUUCCUCCUUACAGGUCUGAAUGUGCUGCGGAGGAGGGUGCUCCCCAGAGAGCACCCCUGUGACAGAUGGAUGGAUGGAAGGACCCCUGAAUGGCUGAAUUGAGAAGAACGAGCAUAUUAGGAGGCCAUACAAUGGGAGCCUCUCAGGCAGUCAAACAAAGCCGUGGAAACUGCAGACUUAUUUGUAUGUUUUAGUACAUACCUUUGCUUCAUUUUCCCCGUCUCCACCUGGACUGAGGGUCACCUCACCUCUCCUGGUGUCCAGAGCCUCCUUUAGGACAGAUGUUUCAAACUUGAGUUCUCACAAACAACGGGGUCCAGCACUUCUCAACACGGGAAAGCCCUUGAGCCAUCUUUGAUUUGUGUGUUUUGAUCUAAUUGCACUACUCUUCGUUAUACUUGUUUUUAGUAGUGAGUGCUGGUUUAAUUUGUUUCUUUCUGGUCUCCCAGCCCCACUCCAGAAUUUUGGCUCCUGGAGAGGAGGGGCCCUGAACUGGCAUUUUCAGCAAAGCAUCCCAGUGCCUUGAAUCCAGUAAGCAGCCAGGUGUCUGUUGGCUUCAUGGUUUAACAACCUACAAUUUGAAGAAUCGCAGAGAUGAAUUAAAAAGAUAGAGCCCCUGAGAGGCUCCCCGAUCCAGUUGCACUUCCUGCUUAAGCAAAGUAAAGAAAAACAGGAAUGAAAACAUAACCCAAUGGGUUAGGUCCAUGCUGGCCAUUGAUGAGGUUGCAGCCACCAUCAGAAGGCCAAACGGUUAGAAACACACGACGGUGAGGAAGAUGAGCCUCAUUAUCGACCAUCACCUGCAGCCCUACACAGGUGCUCAGAAUCUAACACUUGAUGGCUGGUUGAGAUUGGUGGAGUCCUAAUUAGGGAGGGGGAGUCAGGCUGGCGGGACCCAGGGAAAGCACAAAGAGAAGGCAGAGAAGCUCCAAGUCUGCCUGGCUUCAUGGUCCAGAACACAUAGUCCUCCUGCACAAGUAACUCACAAUCUUCCUGUGUCCAGCUAUCAUUAGACCCUUGGCUGAUAGAAAAUGCAAGUUAGUGCACUGCAACCUUGGUGUUAUCAGUACUGCAUAUCGCUCUCUCCAGCACACAGCACAAGCACCAUCCUAUCAAGUCCCCAGCAAGCCUUUGUCUCCUUGUAGUCAGCUCCUCUCUUGCUGGCCUGCCUGUUGCCUCCUUGCCAUGUAUUUUCCUACUUUCUCUAAUAAAUUUGCCUGUUUUUGUUUUUUUUGAGACGAAGUUUUGCCUCAGCCUCUCAAGUAGCUGGGACUACAAGUGUGCGCCACCACAUCCAUCUAAUGUUUGUAUUUUUAGUAGAGACGGGUUUUCACCAUGUUGGCCAAGAUGGCCUUACCUCUUGAUCUCAUGAUCCACCUGCCUCAGCCUCCCAAAGUGUUGGGAUUACAGGCAUGAGCCACCUCACCUGGCCUAAAUCUGCCUUUCUUAACCUACAAUUGUCUUUACCCUGAGCCACUGGUCCCAGAUAGUCACUGCUCACCCGUGACAAUAUUUCACCACUGAGAUCAUUUAUCCUCAAAAAAGUGAGUAGAAUGGCUACAGAAUUGUGUCCAAAGAAUGAAGGAGCAAAACAGUCUUGGAGCCUUAGGAGCAAAACAUCUCCAUUACUAAUAUCCUCCCAAGUCCACCAAGCCUCAGCCAGGAACGGUUCCCCACUUGUGAAGUGUCUGAUAAGUUCUAGCUUGCUUCCUUCCUUCCUUCCUUCUUCCUUCCUUCCUCUCUCUUCUUUCUUUCUCUUUCUCUUUCUUUUUCUUUCUCUUCCUUUCUUUCUUUCCUUUCUUUCUAUCUUUCUUUCUUCUCUCAAUCUUUCUUUCUCUCUCUCUCUCUCUCUCUUUUUGACAGAGUCUCACUCUGUUGUUCAGACUGGAGUACAGUGGCACAAUCUCAGCUCACUGCAACCUCUGCCUCCCAGGUUCAAGCAAUUCUCCUGCCUCAGCCUCCUGAGUAGCUGGGAUUACAGGCACUUGCCACUACAUCCAGCUGAUUUUUGUAUUUUUAGUAGAGGUGGGGUUUCGCCAAGUUGGCCGGGCUGGUCUUGAACUCCUGACCUCAGGUAAUCCGCCCACCUCAGCCUCCCAAAGUGCUUGGAUUACAAGCGUGGACCACUACACCUGGCUCAUUCAUUCAUUUAUUCAUCUGAUAAGUAUUUAUUGAACAUAAAGUACCACAGACUGGGUGGCUUAAAUGACAGAGAUUUAUUUUCUAACAGUUCUGGAAGCUGGAAAUCUGAGAUCAAGGUGCCGGCAGGACUGCUUCCUCCAAGGCCUCUCUUUUUGGCUUGUAGGAGCCGUCUUCUCUCUGUGUCCUCACAAGGUCGCCCUCCGUGUGUGUCUGUGUCCUCAUCUCCUCUUAUUACGGAGACACCAGUCCUACUGGAUUAGCUCCCACGCUGGUGACCUCAUUCUACCUUAAUUACCUCCAUAAAUGCCCUAUCUCCAAACACAGUCACAUUAUGACAUCCUGGGGGUUGGACUUCGACAUGUGACUUUGGGGGGAUGCAACCCAGCCCAUAAUAAACAGCAAAUACAAUUGGAGCUUCUCGCAGAUACAAAGCCAUCGUUGUGCAGCUCAUGCCCUCCUCGGAGGAAGGAGCCAGUAAGUCACAGAGAUCAGUAACACAGUUGGGGACAAAGGUAUAGAGGAGAGCCAGGCACGGAGGCCUGUUGGAGUACGGGUGCUUUGCAAUUUUAGAAGCCGAGGUCCAGAGGAGGCCGGACUUCAAAGAUGACGUCUGGGCCAAGUGCAGAGAAAGGUGAUGGGUGAGCUGGAAGGAAGCCUGGGAAAAGGCACUUUGGGCAUAGGAUUUUGAGGCACAACUGUGUCCUGCCCGUGGCACAGGAGCACUGGGGCCGGCAUGGGCCAUGUGGUCUAGGUGGAGGUGGGAGGGGAGGCGGGAGAAGGGGUGCCCUCAAGAUCUCGGGAGGCACUGGCCAUGGAGAGCCCUCGGGCUGUUACUUCUACUUUUGCCUUUUACCAAUUAAAAGCAUCCUCCCAUGCAAAGGCUUGAGAAGGAUACAGUGGACUCUGGGGACUCGGUGGGGAAGGGUGGGAAGAGGGUGAGGGAGAAAUGACUACAAAUUAGGUGCAGCGUAUACUGCUCGGGUGAUGGGAGCGCCAAAAUCUCACAAAUCACCACCAAAGAACUUAUGUAAUCAAAUACCACCUGUUCCCCAAAAACCAAUGGCAAUAAGAAAUUUUAAAAACAAAAACAAAAAGCAUCUCCUCAGCGUUGUGUUCGAAGAGCGGGAGCUGCGAGGACCUCACCGUUCGUCACCCUCGGAAGCCGUGCCUCUCAUCUGGGGCCUUGGUCUGGCAUCCCCGGCCAGUGCAGCUCCUUCGGCCGUGGGAUAGGCGGCAGGCGGAGGGGCCAGCCUGGCUGCCUGGCAUCCCCGUGGUUCCUGUAAUAAAUAACAAGCCUCACUGA